GAUGAACGCUGGCGGCGUGCCUAAUACAUGCAAGUCGAGCGAACAGACGAGGAGCUUGCUCCUCUGACGUUAGCGGCGGACGUGUGAGUAACACGUGGAUAACCUACCUAUAAGACUGGGAUAACUUCGGGAAACCGGAGCUAAUACCGGAUAAUAUAUUGAACCGCAUGGUUCAAUAGUGAAAGACGGUUUUGCUGUCACUUAUAGAUGGAUCCGCGCCGCAUUAGCUAGUUGGUAAGGUAACGGCUUACCAAGGCAACGAUGCGUAGCCGACCUGAGAGGGUGAUCGCCCACACUGGAACUGAGACACGGUCCAGACUCCUACGGGAGGCAGCAGUAGGGAAUCUUACGCAAUGGGCGAAAGCUUGACGGAGCAACGCCGCGUGAGUGAUGAAGGUCUUCGGAUCGUAAAACUCUGUUAUUAGGGAAGAACAAAUGUGUCAGUAACUAUGCACGUCUUGACGGUACCUAAUCAGAAAGCAACGGCUAACUACGUG
This 497-nucleotide ribosomal RNA is filed under the name uncultured bacterium. RNAcentral's name for it is "partial 16S ribosomal RNA". It matches the Rfam family "Bacterial small subunit ribosomal RNA", at positions 28 to 507 of the family's 1533-position model. The record is from RNAcentral.